RNAcentral lists this long non-coding RNA (8735 nucleotides) under Nicotiana benthamiana. RNAcentral's name for it is "long non-coding RNA (NBEN_LNC019558)". Lineage: Eukaryota; Viridiplantae; Streptophyta; Magnoliopsida; Solanales; Solanaceae. The record is from RNAcentral.
UAGGGCUUCCCCAACACCUCCAAUUCGACCAAGGCACCCAAUUGCACUCCUAAGGUAAGUUUUUAAGUGUGUUUUCAUAGUGAUUUCACUUCUCAAUCACUAGUCACAACAUAAUUUUGAUUGGAUUUCAUAGGAUUUAUUAAAAAUUUCAAGAACACCCCAAAGUUGACUUUCAAGAUUUGGUCUACAAGAGGUAAUCCUACACCUAUGACUUACACACAUAGGGUUAAUAUGGGAUUAUGAGUAUGAAUCAGGGAUUACAACUUAUGAUAUGUUGAUUGGAGGCCAUAAACAUUCAAUUUAAAUAUAUGAACAUGAUAGGGAUUUAAAGGUGUUAUUUGAUGGAAUUUAGUUUGUUGGGUAUGAAUGGAUGGUCAUACAUGUGUAGUUGGAAGUUAUAAAUUGGUUAGGAAUGAUGGCGAGAUGAAUGGUUAGUAAAUGGUGAUAGUUGUAGGAACCAAUACUAUAGUUAUGAGGUGUAAAUAUCUAUACCUACAAGGUGUUUGAUAAUAUGCCUAAAUGGCAUAAGUUAUGGAAUUUAUUACCAAUAUUGACCCUAUUGAAUGUUGUAUUGUAGAUUGAAGUUAUAUAACUGUAUUGGAUCAUUGUGGUAUCAUUAAAGGGCGAAUUUCAGAUAUGUAUGGCUAACACCCCGUCUUUUGUAAAUCGAGCUUCAUCGAUAUUUGUGUGAUUUUGGUCAUUUUUACAUAAUAUCGCGAAUUAGCUUAGAAUUUAAUUGUAGAAUAAAUUAGUUGAAUUAUUUGCAAUCUAAUUGAAUAGAAUUGAGGCAUUUGGAGUCGGAUACUCGUGGAAAGAGCGUGGUUUUGGGUUGAAUUGCACUUGUUUGAGGUAAAUGGCUUGUCUAACUUUGUAUGGGGGACCUCUCCCCUUAGGAUAUCUUGAAUGUUUCUUAAAUGCCUUGUGCGCGAGGUGACGAGCGUGUACUUGUGCUCAUUGUUGAAAAUUCACCUUACUUGACUUAUUUAAAUUGCGUUUCCUUCCUUAUUUAACUGUUAUAAAUGCAAUAUCACUUAUUUCUGCUUAGGGAAAGCAUGCUAGUUAGCUUACUUAUUUUAUUUGACUAAAUGACAAUAUAUGCUCUUUGUGAAGCAUGGUAGACUAUAAUUUCUAUUAGUUGUCAUUGAUUAGAAUUUCUUUUACAUUAAUUGAAUUAUUGUGGUGUGUUUACUAUUUGGGACUACGUGACGUCACCCCGGAAGCUUCCCUUGGUGUGUUAUGUUCUAUGACUGGAUGUGUGGGAUACUAAGAGAUCCCUGACACAUGAUUGAUUGUAAAAUGAGGAUACUUCCGGAUGCUCCCUUGGUGUGUUAUGUUCUAAGACUGGAUGUGUGGGAUACUAAGAGAUCCCUGGCACAUGAUUGAUUGUAAAAUGAGGAUACUAAGAGAUUCUCGGGAUACUUGGAUAUUCCUCGUGAUUAAAUGGAGAAUACUAGGAGAUCCUCGGGAUACCAGGAUAUCCCCGAUGAUAAAUAGCCUGUAGGGAUUGUUCUUUUAUUCAUAUAUUGUAUUUGUAAUCUGUUUCUGUCUUGCUUAUUAUUUUUGUAGACACUCGAUAUACACUGUACUCAUAGGGUCUAUUCAUUUCAUAUUUAUUUUUAUGUUUAUCUCAGUAGGUCUCGACCUUUAUCAUCACUACCCAACCGAGGUUAGGCUUGGCACUCACUGAGUACCGCUGUGGUGUACUCACGCCUAUUCUGCACAUGUUUUUCAUAUGCAUAUCCAGGUAAUUCUGAGCAGGCGUACCGCCAGUAGCUGUCAGAAAGCGUAUUGGGGAGUUGAGGUAUACAUCUGCUACGUCCGGAGAUCUGCAAAGUCCCCUUCUUAUCCUAUCCAUAGUUGUUAGAUGCUAUUUCAAUCCCUCUUUGUAUUAGACUAUUCUGGUGACUAGAGUAGUGUACGAUUUCUUAUAGCCUGUGUUGCCCGUGGGUUUCCGGGUCUUGGAGGUUGUUUCGGUGUUCUGUUAUCUUUUUCGUAAAGAUUGUUAAAUUCCAUAAUGUGUUAGGCUUACCUAGUCGUGAAGACUGGGUUCCGUCAUGACAUGUUAACAAUUGGUGAACUAGGGUCUUGACAAGUUGGAAUCAGAGCUCUAGGUUCACAGGAGUCACGAAAUAUAGGCCGAUUUAUUAGAGUCUCGCUGAUCGUUACGGAGAUGUAUGUACUUAUCUACGAGGGGCUAUGUAGCUAUUUAGGAAAAGAUUCCCACUUCAUUUGAAUUCCUUAUCGUGUGAUAUUUUGGACACCUAUUCUAAAUGUUUGUUUUUCAAUUCUCUCACAGAUGGUGAGGACACGCACGACCUAGGACAAUCAGGCACCCGCACCCCCUCCUGCAGCCGCUAGAGGUAGGGGUCGAGGACGCGUGCGUGGUACAGCAAGAGCAUUUGCGCGAGCUAUAGCCGAGCUGCCACCAGUGGAUCCAGCCAGGACUCAGGCACCUGACACGCCCACAUCUACCACGACUCCAGCUGUUCUGGAGGUAUUGGCAGAGUUUAUGAGCAUACACUAUGACAGGCAGGGUUGCUUCCCCUUCUUGCAGCCACGUACCAGGCCGGGGGAGGAGCCCAAACUCCCGUAGCCCGCACUUCAGAGCAAAGGCUGCAUAUGGGACAGGUUCCAGAUAUUAUUCCCGUCUAGCCUGCGAUACUGUAUCAGCCCGAGGAUGGGGCACCUGCUUCUGAGGAUUAGCAUCGUAGAUUGGAGAGGUUCAAGAAGUAUGACCCUCCCAUUUUAGCAGACUAUCCACGGAUGAUGCUUUGGGGUUUUUGGAGGAUUGUCACUGCAUUUUUAGUACCAUGGGUACUACUGCCUCGAGCGAGGUUUCUUUUACAGCUUUCCAACUUUGGGGAGCCGCCUAUGACUGGUGGUGCACCUUUGAGUUAGACAGUCCGGAUGAGGCCGCCUCCCUGACUUGGACUCAGGUUUCAGAUAUGUUUCAGAGGGAGUUUGUUCCCCAGAGCCUCCGAGAUGCAUGGCACGUGGAGUUUGAGCACUUGCGCCAUGGCCCUAUGAGUGUCUCUGAGUAUGCCAUCCAUUAUACUAGGUUGGCCAGGCAUGCACCUGCUUUGGUGGCUAAAUUUUAUGAGAGGGUUCGUAGGUUUAUCGAGGGUCUUAUUCCUUCCAUCAGGUCUAGCAUGGCGCGAGAGUUGGAGAUGGAUAUACCCUAUCAAUAGGUGGUGAGUUUAGCCAGGAGGAUAGAGGGUGUGCAUGCUAGAUAGCGAGAGGAGAGAGAGGCCAAAAGGUCUCUCGAGUCUGGACAUUUCUCUGGUACUCGUACUUUAGGAGCAAGACUUCAUGGUAGGGGCUAUAUGGGUCGCCCAGUUCACUCAGCUCUUUCUUUUUGUGCCAGGGCCCUAUGACUGUCUCUAAGUAUGUCAUCUAUUAUACUAGGUUGGCCAGACAUGCGCUGGCUUUGGUGGCUACUGUUCAUGAGAGGGUUCGCCUAUUUAUUGAGGGUCUUAUUCCUCCCAUCAGGUCUAGGCAUGGCUUGAGAUUUGGAUAUGUCUAUACCCUAUCAGGAGGUAGUGAGCAUAUCUAGGAGCAUAGAGGGUAUGCAGGCUCGAGAGUGAGAGGAGAGAGAGGCCAAAUAGUCUCGAGAGUCGGGUUAUUACUCUGGUACCCGUACAUCAAUAGCAAGACAUCAUGGUAGGGACUAUACAGGUUGCCCGAUUCACUCAGCUCUUCUUUCAUCCAGCAAUACUCCAGUUCCCCCUAUAUAUCAUGAGCCUUAUUACGCACCUUCGAUUUCUAGUGUGCCUCAUGCGCAGGGUACUUUCAGAGGUCAGUCUAGCAGGGGUGGGCCCAGUCAGUCACAUCCACCGAGCCCUCCCAGAGCUUGUUAUGAGUGCGGGGAUACUUGCCAUGUAGUGAGGGAUUUCCCUAGGCUUGGGAGGAGUGCACCUCCACAGCAUUCUCAGCCACAUCAUAGCAGUGGGAUUCUCAAGGCAUUGUUCCAGCUCCAGCUGCCACCCCACAUGCCUAGCCAGCUAGGGGCGGAGACCAGGGAAAUAGAGGUUGCCAUCGAGGGAGGGGUCGGGCCAGAUUUUAUGCUAUUCCUGAUCGUGUCGAGGUUGCCGCCUCCGAUUAUGUUGUCACAAGUAUUAUAUUGGUUAGUCAAAGAGAGGCAUCGGUUCUAUUCGAUCCAGGCUCUUCUUAUUCUUACGUGUCAUCUUAUUUUACUCCACAUUUGGGUACAACCCAAGAGACCUUGAGCCCAACUAUUUAUGUUUCUUCUCUCGUGGGAGAUUCCCUUGUUGUGAACCGUCUAUAUUGGUCAUGUUUGGUUACUAUUCAUAGUUCUGAGAUCAUGGAAGAUAUUUUAUUACUUGAUAUGGUCGAUUUCGAUAUUAUCUUGGGCAUGAAUUGGUUGUCACCCCAGUAUGCUAUGCUUGAUUGUCACGCUAAGACUGUGAUGCUGGCUAUGCCAGGUAUUCCGCGUAUUGAGUGGAGUGUUACUUUUGAUCACACUCCCUGCAGAGUUAUAUAUUUUCUUAAAGCUCAACGUAUGGUUAAGAAGGGUGUGCUGCGUAUUUGGCUUAUGUGAGAGAUGUUAGUGUUUAUACCCCUUCUGUCAAUUCAAUCCUAGUGGUACGGGAUUAUCCCGAUGUAUUUACAGCUGAUCUUCCGGGCAUGUUACCCGAGCGGGUCAUUGAUUUUGGAAUUGAUUUAUUGUCGGGCACUCAGCCCAUUUCUACUCCUCCGUAUCGUAUGGCUCCUCCUAAAUUAAAGGAGUUGAAGGAUCAGUAACAAGAAUUACUUGAUUGUGAAGAAAAAGGAUGGUUCUAUGCGUAUGUGUAUUAUUGCCAAUUGAAUAAGGCUACAGUAAAGAACAAAUAUCCCUUGCCUCGUGUUGAUGACCUAUUUGAUCAACUUCAGGUCGCACAGAUGUUUUCUAAUUGCACUUGGGAUACUAUCAAUUGAAGAUUCGGGAGCCAGACAUCCCGAAGACUGCUUUCAGGACUCGGUAUGGUCAUUACGAGUUCCUUGUUAUGUCAUUUGGACUGACGAAUGCCCCAACAGCCUUUAUGCAUCUGAUGCACAAUAUGUUCAGGCCAUAUCUUGAUUCGUUUGUGGUUGUUUUCAUAUAUGAUAUUCUGGUAUACUUCCGAAGUGGGGAAGAUCAUGAGCAGCACCUGAGGACAGUACUUCAAACCCUAAGAGAGAAGAAUUAUAUGAAAAAUUUUAAAAAUGCAAGUUUUGGUUGUAUUUUGUGGCUUUCUUGGGUCACGUGGUGUCGAGCGAGGGUAUUCGGGUGGAUCCGAAGAAGAUAGAGGGAGUACAAAGUUUUCCUAGACCCUCCUUAGCUACAGAGAUUCUCAAUUUCCUCGCUUGGCGGGUUAUUGCCGCUGAUCGUAUCCGGGAAUGGCAGUGUGAUGACCCCCAUUUUCUUGUCCUCAAUGACAGGGUUGAGAAUGGUGAUUCCAGGGAUAUGACUAUCCGUGAGGAUGGGGUAUUAAGGAUGCAGGGUCGGGUCUUUGUACCCGAUGUUGAUGAUAUUCGGGAGUUGAUAUUUGCAGAGGCUCAUAGUUCGCGGUAUUCCAUCCAUCCGGGUGCCGCGAAGAUGUAUCAGGAUUUGAGACAACACUAUUGGUAGAGGCAAAUGAAGAAAGACAUAGUAGUAUUCGUAGCUAAAUGCCUCACCUGUCAGCAGGUAAAGGCUAAGCACCAGAGACUGGGUGGGUUACUUCAGCAGAUUGAGAUUCCAGAGUGGAAGUGGGAAAAGAUCGCCAUGGAUUUUGUAGUUGGUAUCCGUAUGAUGACAAAGAAAUUCGAUUCUAUUUGGGUCAUUGUGGAUCGGCUAACCAAGUCCUCUCAUUUCAUACCGGUGUGUACUACUUACUCAGUGGAGCGUUUAGCGGGGAUUUGCUUUAGGGAGAUUGUCCGUCUACACAGAUAACCAGUUACUAUCAUCUCGGACAGGGGUCCUCAGUUUAUAUCACGUUUCUGGAGGGCUGUUCAACAGGAGUUGGGUACUCAGGUGAAGAUGAGUACAACAUUUCACCCACAAACGACGGACAGUCCGAGCGCACCAUUCAUAUUUUUGAGGAUAUGCUCCGUGCGUGCGUGAUUGAGUUUAGAGGGUCUUGGGAUCAGCUCUUGCCAUUGGCAGAAUUUGCUUAUAAUAAUAGUUAUAAAUCUAGCAUUCAGAUGGCCCCCUAUGAGGCUCUUUAUGGUAGGAGGUGCAGAUUUCCGGUGGGUUGGUUUGAGCCGGGUAAAACGAGACUAUUGGGUACAGAUUUAGUUCAGGAUACGUUGGAAAAGGUCAAGUUGAUUCAAGAUCGACUUUGUACAUCCCAGUCCAGAGAGAAGAGAUAUGCGGACCGCAAGGUUCGUGAUGUUUCCUUUAUGGUUGGUGAGCGGGUUCUGCAUCCUGUCUCGCCUAUGAAGGGUGUUAUGAGAUUUGGGAAGAAAGGGAAGUUGAGUCCGAGGUUUAUUGGACCUUUUGAGAUAUUGAACCGUGUUGGAGAAGAUUCUUAUGAGCUUGCCCCACCUCCCAGCUUGGCGGGAGUUCAUCUGGUAUCUCAUGUUUCGAUUCUCCGGAGAUAUUACGGGGACCCGUCGCACGUGUUGGAUUUCAGCUCAGUCAAAAUGGACAUGGAUCUGUCCUAUGUUGAGGAAACAGUGACAAUAUUGGACAGCCAUGUCCGAAAGCUCAGGUCAAAGGAAAUAGCUUAUGUAAUGGUUCAAUGGCAGGGUCAACCGGUCGAGGAGGUGAAUUGGGAGACCUAACGGGAUACGCGCAACCGAUAUCCUCAUCUUUUCAGAACUCCAGGUAUGUUCUUUAUGCUCGUUCGAGGAUGAACGAAUGUUUAUGUGUUGGAGAAUGUAACGACCUGGCUGGUCGUACGUCUUGUUCCCCUAUUAACUGCUUCCUUGUGUUUCAUUAACGGUAUUGGGUGCAUUAGAAUUGAAUUGGAGUGAUUUUUGAUAAGUAAUGCGACACUUAUUCUCUUUUAAGAAGGCUUAAGUUGGAAAACACCAACUAAGCGUUGACUUAUGAGUUAGAGACCUCGGAAUGGAAAUAUGAUGGUUCCAUUAGCUCCGUUAGGUGAUUUCGGGGUUGGGAGCGUGUUCGGAAGGUUUUUUGGAAGUCUGUUGAUCAUUUAGGCUAGAAAUGCCGAAAGCUAGAAUUUUGGCGAUUUUCGGUUGAUAGGUGACAUUUUGAUCAGAGGAUCGGAACGGAGUUCUGGAAGUUUUUGCAGCUUUGUUAGGUGAUUUGGAAAAUGGGCGUAAAAUUUCAAGUCAUUCGGACGUGUUUAGGUCGGUUUUUUGAUGAAAUGCGAGUUUCGGAAGUUUUGGUUGAACCUAGGCUUGCAUCCGUUGAGGAUUGGUUAUUUUUGUGUUGUUGGAUGCAUUUUAUGGUUGGAACAAGUUCAUAAAAUGUUUUAAGAUGGUUUUUCACUUUUUGUUAAGGUCUCGGGGGCCUCAAAAUGAUUUCGGAUGGGUAACGGGAACUUUUGAAGUUGGAAAUUUCAUAAUAGAAGAAAGUUGCAAAUGAGUGCGCACAAGACCUCACGUUGGAUGAUCAUAUAUAUCCCUUUAUUCAUGGAGUUGUGUGAGAUAAACCCUAUCAAAUAAAAGCCCUUUGAGUCUAAAUUCCAACGCAAUAAACCGUUCAUCAUUUAGAGGUGCAUACAGAAAGUUAUGACUAUUUUACUGGGCAUGUGUCGGUAGCACGGGAUUAGCGCGGGCGCGCUAGUAACAUGCCUCUAAAUACACCUAAGUACGGGAAAUGACAUUAUUUGAGUCAUUUCUCAAGCCUAGGGCUUCCCUAACACCCCCAAUUCGACCAAGGCACCCAAUUGCACUCCUAAUGUAAAUUUUUAAGUGUGUUUUCAUGGUGAUUUCACUUCUCAAUCACUAGUUACAACAUGAUUUAAUUUGAUUUCAUAGGAUUUCUUCAAAAUCUCAAGAACAUCCCAAAGUUAACUUUCAAGAUUUUGUCUACAAGAGGUAAUCCUACACCUUAGACUUACACAUAUGGGAUUAAUAUGGAAUUAUGAGUAUGAAUCAGGUAUUACAACUUAUGAUAUGUUGAUUGGAGGCCAUAUAUUUCCAACAAUAUACAUGAACACGGUAGGGAUUUCAAAGUGUUUAUUUGAUGGAAUUUUGUUGGUUGGGUAUGAAUGGAUGGCCAUACAUGCGUAGUUGGAAGUUAUAAAAUUGGUUAGGAAUGAUGGUGAGAUGAAUGGUUGGUAAAUGGUGAUAGUUGGAGGAACCAAUACCAUAGUUAUGAGGUGUAAAUAUCCAUAGCUACAAGGUGUUUGAUAAUAUGCCUAAAUGGCAUAAGUUAUGGAAUUUAUUACCAAUAUUGGCCCUAUUGAAUAUUGUAUUGUAGAUUGAAGUUACAUAACUAUAUUGGAUCAUUGUAGUAUCAUUAAAUGGCGAAUUUCAUAUAUGUAUGGCUAACACCCUGUCUUUUGGAAAUUGAGCUUCGUUGAUAUUCGUGUGAUUUUGUUCAUUUUUACAUAAUAUCACGUAUUAGCUUAGAAUUUAAUUGUAGAAUAAAUUAGUUGAAUUAUUAUUUACAAUAUGCAAUCAAAUUGAAUAGAAUUGGAGUCGGAUACUCGUGGCAAGAGCGUGGUUUUGGGUUGACUUGCACUUGUUUGAGGUAAAUGGCUUGUCUAACUUUGUAUGGGGGACCUCUCCCCUUAGGAUAUCUUGAAUGUUUCUUAAAUGCCUUGUGCGCGAGGUGACGAGCGUGUACUUGUGCUCAUUGU